This is a long non-coding RNA of Drosophila miranda, 672 nucleotides long. RefSeq lists it as uncharacterized. The record is from RefSeq and is a predicted model, not a curated record. Lineage: Eukaryota; Metazoa; Arthropoda; Insecta; Diptera; Drosophilidae. The transcript has 3 exons.
GGUUAUGUAUGAAAAAUUACACAUUUUAAAGCCAAAAUAUUCUAUCAGUGGGAAUGAAACAAAAUUUGAAAAUUGGUUUCGCUCUUUUGUAAUAGUGAUUUUCCUAUACGUAGACCAACCACUGUUUAUUUGUUGUAGGAUGCCUACCAGACAAAGCGGAGUAUGCAACAUGGCCGCGGUCAGAGGUUAUAGAGUGUUGGGCUAUAUUGAUAAUUACCCAGCGCGCCCGCACCAGGAACCGUCGAACGAAAAUGAAAAUCGAUUUUUUUCCUAAUGCAAUAUAUCUUGGCUAUUGUAUAAUUCGUAGAAUUUUAAAAUUUUGUAAACAAAUCUCGAAAACACUUGUCAGGUCAUGUUUUGUCUUAUAUCUUUAAAGCCUUAUGUUCCAUUGUUGCUGAACUUUUUACUGAAUACAGGGAAAUUUAAUAACUUUUUGUUAAAGUUCACGAGGAACAUACGAGAGAGAGACGCUUUUUUAGAGAGACUUUUCCAAAGAGACUGAUAUAUAAGAACAUCGAUAUACGCUUCUGAGCAGCAGGGUUGCACAGUGAUAGCUCGAUAGCUCAUUAUCGUGGCGGUCACUUUGAACAAAAAGCGGCUAUAGUGAGGGUCUAUGGCGUCCUCCCCUGGGAGAAAAAUGAAAAAUUAAUGAAAAUAAAGGACUGGUCACUG